AGUGAACGCUGGCGGCGUGCUUAACACAUGCAAGUCGAACGAGAACGGAUUAUAGCUUGCUAUAAUUGUCAGCUAAGUGGCGCACGGGUGAGUAAUGUAUAGGUAAUAUGCCUCUUACUAAGGGAUAACAAAUGGAAACGUUUGCUAAUACCUUAUACUCCUUAUUAACAUAAGUUAAUAAGGGAAAGAUUUAUUGGUAAGAGAUUAGCCUGUAUUGUAUCAGUUAGUUGGUGGGGUAAUGGUUUACCAAGACUAUGACACAUAACUGGUUUGAGAGGAUGAUCAGUCACACUGGAACUGAGACACGGUCCAGACUCCUACGGGAGGCAGGAGUGGGGAAUAUUGCACAAUGGACGGAAGUCUGAUGCAGCAACGCCGCGUGGAGGAUGACACAUUUCGGUGCGUAAACUCCUUUUAUAUGAGAAGAUAAUGACGGUAUUAUAUGAAUAAGCACCAGCUAACUCCGUGCCAGCCGCCGCCGUAA
RNAcentral lists this ribosomal RNA (484 nucleotides) under uncultured bacterium. RNAcentral's name for it is "partial 16S ribosomal RNA". It matches the Rfam family "Bacterial small subunit ribosomal RNA", at positions 29 to 523 of the family's 1533-position model. The record is from RNAcentral.